GGCCCGCACAAGCGGUGGAGCAUGUGGUUUAAUUCGAUGCAACGCGAAGAACCUUACCUACUCUUGACAUCCAGAGAAUUUAGCAGAGAUGCUUUAGUGCCUUCGGGAACUCUGAGACAGGUGCUGCAUGGCUGUCGUCAGCUCGUGUUGUGAAGUGUUGGGUUAAGUCCCGCAACGAGCGCAACCCUUAUCCUUUGUUGCCAGCGAUUCGGUCGGGAACUCAAAGGAGACUGCCGGUGAUAAACCGGAGGAAGGUGGGGAUGACGUCAAGUCAUCAUGGCCCUUACGAGUAGGGCUACACACGUGCUGCAAUGGCGUAUACAAAGAGAAGCGACCUCGCGAGAGCAAGCGGAACUCAUAAAGUACGUCGUAGUCCGGAUUGGAGUCUGCGACUCGACUCCAUGAAGACGGAAUCGCUAGUAAUCGUAGAUCAGAAUGCUACGGUGAAUACGUUCCCGGGCCUUGUAUACACCGCCCGUCACACCAUGGGAGUGGGUUGCAAAAGAAGUAGGUAGCUUAACCUUCGGGAGGGCGCUUACCACUUUGUGGUUCAUGACUGGGGUGAAGUCGUAA
Molecule: ribosomal RNA, 573 nt
Filed under: uncultured bacterium
Lineage: Bacteria
Description: bacterial SSU rRNA
Rfam family: Bacterial small subunit ribosomal RNA
Source: RNAcentral